Eupeodes corollae is the source of this 1447-nucleotide long non-coding RNA. RefSeq lists it as uncharacterized. Lineage: Eukaryota; Metazoa; Arthropoda; Insecta; Diptera; Syrphidae. The transcript is spliced from 5 exons. The record is from RefSeq and is a predicted model, not a curated record.
AUUUUGACAGCGAAAAUUAAAUUAAAUAAAUCAAAACAAAUAAAUCAAAACAAAAGUGAAAAUUAAUAAAACAAAGUUGUUAAUAGUACUCCUGAUUAACUGUUUUAUCUAUAUUAUAUAAAUAAUUUUAUACAAAAUGAUCCAGAGUCAACUAAUUCAUCGAUCUAAAAAGUGACUUCAUCAUAUCCGAAGAAGUAUUUCCCUACGUAACUUGGCUCUAGCUGAUAGAGGAUUCUUUCAGGAUCUCUUUCCAGACACCGCUGGUCCGGAAAUGGCAAAACUUUUCACAGGUAAACAACAAACAAUCUACACCGGCUUUGAUCAAGCUGCCGAUAGUCCAACGUUGACAAUCUCCUGGUAAUAAUUGGACUUCUGCAUGGCAUCGAGAAAGACACAAUCCAAUUGCGUUAUUUGGAAUACGGGUCUUAUCGGUAAUCCUAGUGGCAAAGCAAAACGAAAUAAACUAGGGUUGUCGGUCAUUGAGACAAAUUAGAGUCGUCAACAAUGCAUCAUGGUAAGAAAAUCUGAAUGUAGAGGACUUUGUUGCCAAUAUGGGAAGACACUUUCGAAUUACUGCUCUCAAUAUCGUCAGUCCAGUCGCGACUUAAUAGUGCAGCUAGAAUGAGCUUUACUGAAUUCACAUAACAAAUUUUCCAGGGUUAUGACUUGUUGCAUUUGCUUCAGAAAUACAAUUGUCGCUUUCAAAUGGGAGGCAGUGAACAAUGGGUAACUUAAUGACUGGCCACGAACUAUCAGCAGAGUAGAAAAAAAGAAAUCAGUAUUUGGAUUGGCACUUCAAAUAGUGAUCAACGAAGGAGAAGACAAGUUCCGAAAAUCUGCUGGCAAUGGUAUUUGGCUGGACGAAGAAAAAAGUCGCCAUUUGUUCUUUAUCAGUUCUUUUUGAAAAUGCCAGAUUCUGAAGUCGAGAAGCUUCUCAAGUUGUUCACUUUUAUCCCACAAAGAAGAAAUUGCAUUUCUCAUUGAAGAACACAAAAAAAUACCAGAGAAGAGAAAAGCACAAAGAAGAUGUGACGCUUCAAGUCUAUGGAGAGGUAUGUCUAAAACAAGACGAAAAAGUCACAGCGGCGCUCUAUAAGGGAAAUGUUGAAGGACUAGGUGAACUGAAUUACAACGAAAUCCGAUCGUUGAGAUUUUUUCAGAGCCUGGACUAUCCAUUCUUGAUCUGGCACUAAAAGCUAAAUGUUUUACAACUGAGACUGAUGCGAUCAGAAUCAUCACAACUGGAGGGUUCUAUAUCAAUCAAAAGUAAAUGUAGUUUAUGUGUUCCGUUCCCAUUUUCAUAUGUUUUGUAUUUUAUUUAUUUAUUACAUCAAUUAGAGUUAAGAGUAUACUCAAAUAGACUAAUGAAUAUGACAAGUUUUAUUUAAAAUAUUAUAUUAUAAACUAAGAAUGUAAAGUUAAAAAAAAUAAACUAAGCAUACAUAUA